UGAGGUCAGGCAAGANCACCCG
This 22-nucleotide ribosomal RNA is filed under the name Trebouxia jamesii. Its description in RNAcentral is "partial 26S ribosomal RNA". The record is from RNAcentral. Lineage: Eukaryota; Viridiplantae; Chlorophyta; Trebouxiophyceae; Trebouxiales; Trebouxiaceae.